CUUGACCCCUGUCGAAUUUCUAUGAAAAGCGGACGUUGUUUACAGGUGAUGGUGCUUUCUGUAAACUUACACUGGAUAGCGAGUGUAACCCAGUGGUAAAAUGUUCGCUUGAUGCACGGUCGGUCUAGGAUCGAUCCCCGUCGGUGGACCCAUUGGGCUGUAUCUCAUUCCAGCCAGUGCUCCACAACUGCUAUGUUGUGAGUCAUGCAAGAAGGUACAUGUACUAAUUAGUGGUGUGAUGGUGAAACGUUCAUUGUCGAGAAUACCUUCCACAUGAUGGAAUGUGUAUAGACUGACUGGAAACAAAUCUGAUGGAAGUGAUGAAUUCAGUCACUAAUUGCUGCCAAAUAUGGAUCACUGAUUUUGUUACGACCGGUCUUCAGUGGGAUGACAAAUGUGUUGUUUUGUUAUCAAAACAACAAAAUAGAAAACAUUUAAAUUUUUAAUAUGAAAAAUGUUUAAAAUGUUUGU
Long non-coding RNA from Gigantopelta aegis, 471 nucleotides. RefSeq lists it as uncharacterized. The record is from RefSeq and is a predicted model, not a curated record. The transcript has 3 exons. Lineage: Eukaryota; Metazoa; Mollusca; Gastropoda; Neomphalida; Peltospiridae.